Molecule: ribosomal RNA, 1016 nt
Filed under: uncultured bacterium
Lineage: Bacteria
Description: bacterial SSU rRNA
Rfam family: Bacterial small subunit ribosomal RNA
Source: RNAcentral
AGGAAUAUUGGUCAAUGGACGAGAGUCUGAACCAGCCAAGUAGCGUGAAGGAUGAAGGUCCUACGGAUUGUAAACUUCUUUUAUAAGGGAAUAAACCCUCCCACGUGUGGGAGCUUGUAUGUACCUUAUGAAUAAGCAUCGGCUAACUCCGUGCCAGCAGCCGCGGUAAUACGGAGGAUGCGAGCGUUAUCCGGAUUUAUUGGGUUUAAAGGGAGCGCAGACGGGUCGUUAAGUCAGCUGUGAAAGUUUGGGGCUCAACCUUAAAAUUGCAGUUGAUACUGGCGUCCUUGAGUGCGGUUGAGGUGUGCGGAAUUCGUGGUGUAGCGGUGAAAUGCUUAGAUAUCACGAAGAACUCCGAUUGCGAAGGCAGCACACUAAUCCGUAACUGACGUUCAUGCUCGAAAGUGUGGGUAUCAAACAGGAUUAGAUACCCUGGUAGUCCACACGGUAAACGAUGGAUACUCGCUGUUGGCGAUAUACUGUCAGCGGCUUAGCGAAAGCGUUAAGUAUCCCACCUGGGGAGUACGCCGGCAACGGUGAAACUCAAAGGAAUUGACGGGGGCCCGCACAAGCGGAGGAACAUGUGGUUUAAUUCGAUGAUACGCGAGGAACCUUACCCGGGCUUAAAUUGCAAAGGAAUAAUCUGGAAACAGGUUAGUCUUCGGACCUUUGUGAAGGUGCUGCAUGGUUGUCGUCAGCUCGUGCCGUGAGGUGUCGGCUUAAGUGCCAUAACGAGCGCAACCCUCGCCGCCAGUUACUAACAGUUAAAGCUGAGGACUCUGGCGGGACUGCCAUCGUAAGAUGUGAGGAAGGUGGGGAUGACGUCAAAUCAGCACGGCCCUUACGUCCGGGGCUACACACGUGUUACAAUGGGCGGUACAGAAGGCAGCUACCUGGCGACAGGAUGCCAAUCCCUAAAGCCGCUCUCAGUUCGGACUGGAGUCUGCAACCCGACUCCACGAAGCUGGAUUCGCUAGUAAUCGCGCAUCAGCCACGGCGCGGUGAAUACGUUCCCG